Long non-coding RNA from Balaenoptera musculus (blue whale), 2620 nucleotides. RefSeq lists it as uncharacterized. The transcript has 3 exons. Lineage: Eukaryota; Metazoa; Chordata; Mammalia; Artiodactyla; Balaenopteridae. The record is from RefSeq and is a predicted model, not a curated record.
CGAUGACGUAACCGGCGCAAGUGCAGUCUGUCGGCGACGCUGAAACGCUGCUGGAUCUGUGGGUGGAGCAUUUUUAAGGUCAUCUGCACCUUCUGACUGGGAAAAGAUGGUCAACGUCUUGAAAGGAGUGCUUAUAGAAUGUGACCCUGCCAUGAAGCAAUUUCUGCUGUACUUGGAUGAGUCAAAUGCCCUAGGGAAGAAGUUCAUCAUUCAAGACAUUGAUGACACUCACAUCUUCGUAAUAGCAGAGUUGGUUAAUGUCCUCCAGGAGCGAGUAGGUGAAUUAAUGGACCAAAAUGCCUUUUCUCUUACCCAGAAGUGAAAAUAUUAGAUAAUGAUCACUUAGGAAUUAAAAGUAACAAAUGUGAGAGACUCACCAUUCGAUGUCUUGUGUGACCGAUUAGAUUUACAGAAUUGCUCGGAAGCAUGCGACAGGGAAGACUGUGAAAUCAUUUGUUCAUAAGAAAGCCCCUGAACUGACUUUCUUGUUCUGUUUUUUUCAUUGUGUGUACCCUAGAAUUUAAAAAAAAAAAAGCUUUAACAGUUGGCUGUAAUUUGGCUUUUAUUAACCUUUAUUAAAAUAUAAAUGUAAUUGGUUUUCCUACCUCUUAAUGCCAAUUUAAUACAUUAAGAAUAUAAUGGAAUAUGCUUUUAAAUCAUCAGUCUAACCUAAAUACCACCUAGAUAUUUAUCUUUGCUUAUUUGUAUUAGUAAUUGGGGGUUUGGUAGUGUAGGUAUGGUUUGUUUUGUUUCCACUAGAAACUUCACAGACAGACUGUUUAGAUAAAUAUGCCAAGGUGGGAACUUUAGUAAUAUUUAUACCUUACAAAUAGUAUCUGCAUGCCAGCCAGCUCUGUUGGUAAAGAAGAUGUGGGAGAGAAUCCUGUAACAUUAAUGUAAACUGCAGUUUACAUUUCCCUAAAAAUACAGUGUUUUAAAAGCACAGAGGGUUAGAAACAACCAAAUGGGAAAGGUAUGUGCUGCUUUGCAGCUUUCCUCUUUCCUUGUUCAGACUUUGUUGGUCACAUUUUCCCAUCAAGGCAAGUGCCCUUUCAUUAAGAAGUCAGUUUUCCUUGGACCUUAUUCCCUAUGAGAAUCCCUGUGUAAAUUUGUCUAAAAAAGAAAGGUAGGAACAGAUAGAAGCAAAGUCAGUCUUGGGGGAGUCUAGUUCUAUGGUUGAUCGAGGCAGAAACAAUAACACUGAUGGGGGCUUUGCUUCCCUUCCUGAAGAUAGUGGUACUAGGAUGGGUUCUGAUGGUGGGAAUUUUCCAAGAGAAAAGAUAACUUUCAUGAUGUUAGGUGGAGUCGUAUCCAACCCACUUUACCUGCCUCCUUAUGGUGUGUUUAUUCAGAGCAUCUGUGUACCAUAGCCACUUACUUACACAUGCGUUCCCUAAAGCUGGGAAUUUCCAUAGGUAUAUUUGUCAUGGUUUCCACCCAUGUAACUCAAACUACCCAAUUUUGAUUUUCACAUAACAAUGCAAACAAUUUUGAUGAGUUAUUGGUACAUCUGGUACUAAAACUUGCUGAAUACAGUACAUUUCUUUAGGAUUUCCAGCUGUACUGAAAUGUUACUGACUCUUGUAUUUCAGGCAUGUCUAAAUCUAUUUCUAACAUGCCUUAGGCGUUUGUCACCUAAUACCUUUUAACAUGAAACUUAGAGAAAAUUUUUCUUACAAUCUCAGAGUUUAAAAGGUACUGGAAAGACUAUUGGACAGUGAGUACAAAGAGUGUUAAGUGAAGGAAAAUCUUUAUUUCAUUGGCCCUCAUUGUUUAAAAGUUGAGUUAGGGCAAAUGUUCGGUAUCUUUCUCUGGAAGUACAUUAGAAGGAUGGGACAGUGUGGUGCUGGGAGCCGCACUUGGAGCCACUGAGUUAGCUCGUCCAACUAUGAGAGAAGCUAGGAGAGAACAGGAAAUAGCCAAGUGACAUUUUCUCCAGGCUCUGCUGCUUGGAAUCUGGUUGACAUUAUUCGAUUUAGCAUACUUUAGAUGUCUAGAACAAGAUAUGUUGGCUGCUGGGUACUGGAGAAAUUUACUACUGUCUUUUUAUUUUUAACAAAGUCCUUAAUACUGUGAAAAGGUAGUAUUAACUUAAAUUUUCCUAACUGCAUAAAAGAGUCAUUUUAAUUUAUGAGAGAUAGUUGACCAGUCACAAAUAUCCAUGUACUAAAAUUGUGAUAUUUAGAAUUAUACUAACUUCUUGAGAAAGGUUUUUUUUUUAAUACCGUAUAAGGUCAAAACUUCCGUAUUCUUUGAACCCCAAUUUCCUUGUGAAAUUUAGUGUGAUUAUUUUAAAAUUCCAGGCAUCCUAAGUAUGCAUAAGAGUUAAUGUAAAAAUGUUUAUUGAGACAUCAGUUUUGAUGAACACUAACUAAACACUAUUGUUAAUAAGCAACAAAGGCUACUCUCUUUUAUUUCUGAUAAUCACUAUAGGUGGUAGUCAAAAUUAUUAAUGAUUAUAUUGCUCUUAACAUUAUGUAUAAUAGAGGUGAUUUGACAUAAUUGUACUUCUUUUCUGGAAAUAUGGUAAAUAAUGUGCUUACUCUAUUUUGUAGUUACACAUUAAACCUCACUUAGCUCUAAAGAAACUAAAUAAAACCUUUGAUAUAAUGCCUUCUGA